UACAGAGGGUGCAAACGUUGUUCGGAAUCACUGGGCAUAAAGCGCACGUAGGCGGCUCGUUUAGUGCGGAGUGAAAUCCCACGGCUUACCCGUGGAACUGCUUUGCAUACUGGCGAGCUCGAGGACGGUAGAGGAGAGCGGAACUCUUGGUGGAGCGGUGAAAUGCGUAGAUAUCAAGAGGAACACCGAAGGCGAAGGCAGCUCUCUGGUCCGUUUCUGACGCUGAGGUGCGAAAGCCAGGGUAGCGAACGGG
Molecule: unclassified non-coding RNA, 253 nt
Filed under: uncultured Planctomycetota bacterium
Lineage: Bacteria; Pseudomonadati; Planctomycetota
Description: uncultured planctomycete contains 16S-23S intergenic spacer region
Rfam family: Bacterial small subunit ribosomal RNA
Source: RNAcentral